Molecule: long non-coding RNA, 3057 nt
Organism: Ornithorhynchus anatinus (platypus)
Lineage: Eukaryota; Metazoa; Chordata; Mammalia; Monotremata; Ornithorhynchidae
Exons: 5
Source: RefSeq, a predicted model, not a curated record
GAGCCGCGGUCCGGGCGGCCGGGGGCGGGACUUCCGGUCUCCGCGGGCGGCCGCGGCCCGCUCACCUGCGCGGCGCGGAGGAUGCCGGGAGAGCUAGGCCGGACGGUCCUUGGGAGCCUUUAAUUAAGAGGAUAAGAAGAAGAAGAAUAAUGGUGUCAGGUGGUCUCCGAUCCAUAGAGACUCCAGGGAUUCAUCUCUGGCAGAACGCCCCGCCUCCACCGGAAACCGUUCCGAGAGAGGAUCCAAAGAGUUCGCUUGGUGAAAAUCCACCUUCUUCCGGGCAGUAAACCCAUUGUUUUCUUCCACGCGCUAAACCUGAGUCUCCGCCGUCGACUCUCUCCCGGGCCGCUGCUGCCCAGCAUGGCCAUCAUCCGGUGAGGACUGCCCGGAUUUGCAGAGCUCCACCAACCAAGACAUUUUUACUGAUUUGUGUCCCAGUCCUCACAAAAGAGAGCCCUGAGGAGAAAGUUCUGUGAGGGGAUGCCUGGGGUCUUUUUCUUUUUUUAAAGAGCAAGAUUGUGCUCUCGUGUUCUAGAGUUUGUGGUGAUGGGCAACAUCCAUAUCAUGUGACUAGUCACUCGCCAUAUCUGCCUACCUAACCUGCACGGUGUUUUUCAUUUCUGAAUCCUUUUAAAAAUCAACAUAUGUUUUUAUUCUAUGUCAGGCAAACUACUUUUAGUGCAUUUGGCUAACCACGUAUGUUAGUGUUCAGAUGACUAUCCUACCAGAUGUCUGCUUUGAAGGGGUAAUGGAUCAUCGAUAGCAUAUGAUGGUCACAUUUAUUUAUUCCUGUGGGCUCUCAGAGCUUUCUGACCUUUUUCUCUCUGUCACCAGAUUAUUUUUCUCUUCAGUCAGCUAAACGUCCGUAUUCCCACCCGCACUCAAAAGAGAUACAGGCAUACCCCAGUUUCAAAAGACCACAAAACAUAAAACCCAGAGAUAUGUCAUGCGCUAAUUGACAUAAUCAAAUGGAACCUACUGAUGACAUGUAAGCCUGUGGAAAAAGUACCCCGAGAUACCACCACUCAAGAUACAUCCACAUUUUGCAGGGACAAACUACAGAUCUCCCUUGGGAUUUGGUACCUUCUUCCUGAACCUCAACAAGGCCUGGCUGAGCAAAUAUUGCCGAAAGGAGAGGCCUAAAGAAUAGCGUGGUGCCUGACUCUUCAACUCCUACCGCUUCGCCUCCACUGCCCCUGCCCAACUAGGAAGAGGGUAGGAGCAGGAAGAGCAAGAGAGGAGAAGUGAAGCAGAGGGUGGGGUGGACCCUUCUCCCCUGGUCACCGACAAAGAUGCACAGUUGGGUAACAAUGGCAAGGAUAAAUGGCGAGGAGGGGGGGAAGGGGCGGGUCAAGGGUCAGGAAUUGUAAACAGAUGCAAAAAUAGGCCUAGCACGCCCUUCUCUCUGUGAAGCUCCCAUCAAAUGAGUUGGCAAUUUCCUCCCCACCCAUUCCACUCACACCCUUCUCGGCACAAAUUUGUGAAAACAAAAUGCUCGUUUCUGGAGCACAUGUUUAUUUCUUGAUUUUGGGCUUGGCUCUUGCGGUUGUGUCACAUCUUGGAAUGUUGUACUGCUCUACGGAAACACCCUCCCAGGCCAGGCUUGAAUCUUACCACGUCUGUGAUAGGAUUAUUUCCUUAGGUAUCCCCUUCUUCUCCAAUUUUCUUUCUCCAUCCCCUACUUACCCCAUCAUUUUAUUUCUCCUUUCUCUCCCUCAUCUCGAUGUCUGCCCCUUCCCUGUAAAAAUCAGUUUCCCAUACGGGGCAAACUGCUCUAUGGAAACACCCUCCCAGGCCGAGCUUAAAUCUUACCACGUCUGUUAUAGGAUUAUUUCCUUAGGUAUCCCCUUCUCCAAUUUUCCUUCUCCAUCCCCUACUUACCCCAUCAUUUUAUUUCUCCCGUCUCUCCCUCAUCUCGAUGCCUGCCCCUUCCCUGUAAAAAUCAGUUUCCCAAACGGUGCAAAUUCACACGCUACAUCUACAAAGCAAAUACCUUUGAAAACUCCCCAAACAUAAAUGAACAUAUACUGCAGGGUCACACAAAGGAAUAUCAUGCAUGAAGCGAAUGGUUCAAACUUGCUCUUUCUCUUGUGUUCACGGCACUUAGUUCCACAGUGCUCUUCCUCCUCCUCCUCCCUCCUCCCGUUGCUACCUGCAUCCCCCGUCCUACAGUGCUCCCCAUUUUGCCGAAUCCAGCAGCCUCCCGGUCUCUAAGGGGCAAAAUUUCCGGUGUCCGGCCUGGCCCAAAUCGAACAGGAGAAGUGUGGAACUGUGACAAGCCUGAAGUGUGUAUCAGGGCACACCGCCGUUUCUGGGUCGUCGCUAGGACUGCGGACAUCACGUGCAUGAGAUGGUUAAUGACCGGAUCUUUGUGGGCCGGGGCUUCGUCAUAGAGUAGUUCCAGAAACUCAGAGUGAGAAGCCGAUCGCUUGCUUGGGCUCAGAACAUCUGGCGUAUUUGGAUUUCCACACAUUUCUGGAAAGUUGAUGGAUGGGGACGGCAGAGAAUCUGUGCCCUGCUCUCGUCCCCUUGGUGCGGUCGUAUUUAUUAAGCGCUUCCUGGGGGUGCAGUAAGUGCUUACUUUCAGUAUCCUAGGCAACCAACUACUUCACAUGCCCUUUAGGUGGUCAAUAUAAGGACACCCGGGGAAACUGUUGGGAGAGGGAAUGUGUCUACCGACUCCGUUGUUCUGUAGCCUCCCAAACGCUUAGGACAGUUCUCUGCACAAAGUGAGUGCUCAACAAAUACCAUCGAUUGAUUAAUCGAUUGACUUGGGACAGCCCUACCAAACCAGCGAAGGGCCUGAAAAUUGUUUUUAGACUCUAAAGUAUGGCCGCUGUUAUUAAUGUUGUCUAUGGUUUCUUUUUUGCUGCGUUUAUCAUGUGAUUCUUGCCUUGUGUCAAUCGUUCAUUUCCUUUUAAGACUGUGAGCCUCUUUACUACGGCCAGAGAUUUUGUCUGAGUUGUUAUCCUUGAACCUUUUCCCCAAGACAAUACGGCGAUAUGCCUAAAGUGCCUAUAAAUGCAAUAAAUAAUACCAGCGAUAAUGUGAAUCCAA